CUGUGUGUGUGUGUGUGUAUGUGUAUGGACUCAGCAGUCUGUGUGUGUAUGAACUCACACAGACUGCUGAGUCCAUACACACACACACAGACUG
Pelobates cultripes (western spadefoot toad) is the source of this 94-nucleotide non-coding RNA. The record is from the annotation of a GenBank genome assembly. Lineage: Eukaryota; Metazoa; Chordata; Amphibia; Anura; Pelobatidae.